This 311-nucleotide ribosomal RNA is filed under the name uncultured Pelagibacterales bacterium. RNAcentral's name for it is "SSU rRNA". It matches the Rfam family "Bacterial small subunit ribosomal RNA", at positions 29 to 367 of the family's 1533-position model. The record is from RNAcentral. Lineage: Bacteria; Pseudomonadati; Pseudomonadota; Alphaproteobacteria; Candidatus Pelagibacterales.
ACGUACGCUGGCGGCACGCCUAACACAUGCAAGUCGAACGAAGUAGCAAUACUUAGUGGCAGACGGGGUGAGUAACAUGUGGGUAUCUACCCUUUGGCCUGGAAUAACACGAGGAAACUUGUGCUAAUACCGGAUAAGUCUUUACGGAGAAAGCUUUAUGCACCAUUGGAUGAGCCUGCACUUGAUUAGUUUGUUGGUGGGGUAAUGGCCUACCAAGUCUACGAUCUAUAGCUGGUUUGAGAGGAUGAUCAGCAACACUGGGACUGAGACACGGCCCAAACUCCUACGGGAGCAGCAGUGGGGAAUCUUGC